GCCUAUUUUUUUAAAUAUUUUUUCCCUAUGGUCAUAUACACCUCAAAUCCCUGCUAGCCAUGCACUACCCAAAUAUGCUUCAAUGUAUGUUGUCUUUUAUUAACUACAGAAACAAAUGGCAUUACAAAAAUGGAAGGUGAGAAAGAAAAGGAGGAAGAUGUACCAGUAAAUUAUGCUGAAGAUGAAGAAGAGAACUAUGACAAUGAAGAGGAUGAAUAUGGAAACAGUAGAAGCUUGACUUCAUCUGAUGCAACCCCCACCACUCCAGUAAUGCUUACAGACAGCG
Xenopus laevis (African clawed frog) is the source of this 286-nucleotide long non-coding RNA. RefSeq lists it as uncharacterized. The transcript is spliced from 2 exons. The record is from RefSeq and is a predicted model, not a curated record. Lineage: Eukaryota; Metazoa; Chordata; Amphibia; Anura; Pipidae.